AUUGAACGCUGGCGGCAUGCUUUACACAUGCAAGUCGAACGGUAACAGGCCUUCGGGUGCUGUCGAGUGGCGAACGGGUGAGUAAUGCAUCGGAACGUGCCCCGAGCUGGGGGAUAACGCAGCGAAAGCUGUGCUAAUACCGCAUGUGAUCUGAUGAUGAAAGCGGGGGACCAGGCAGCAAUGUUUGGCCUCGCGCCUUUGGAGCGGCCGAUGUCGGAUUAGGUAGUUGGUGGGGUAAAGGCCUACCAAGCCGACGAUCUGUAGCUGGUCUGAGAGGACGACCAGCCACACUGGAACUGAGACACGGCCCAGACUCCUACGGGAGGCAGCAGUGGGGAAUUUUGGACAAUGGGCGAAAGCCUGAUCGAGCAAUGCCGCGUGAGGGAAGAAGGCCUUCGGGUUGUAAACCGCUUUUGUACGGAACGAAAAGGCUCUGGCUAAUACCUGGGGCUGAUGACGGUACCGUAAGAAUAAGCACCGGCUAACUACGUG
RNAcentral lists this ribosomal RNA (492 nucleotides) under uncultured bacterium. RNAcentral describes it as "partial 16S ribosomal RNA". It matches the Rfam family "Bacterial small subunit ribosomal RNA", at positions 30 to 507 of the family's 1533-position model. The record is from RNAcentral.